This 493-nucleotide unclassified non-coding RNA is filed under the name Hevea brasiliensis (rubber tree). The record is from RNAcentral. Lineage: Eukaryota; Viridiplantae; Streptophyta; Magnoliopsida; Malpighiales; Euphorbiaceae.
GGAACAUUGUGGGUUCAAGCAGCUGAUAACCGUGAACAGUACAUAGGAAUUGCCAAAGUCCAAGCCACAGACAAAGAUUGGGUGCAGUUGCAAGGGAAGUUUCUUCUAAAUGACUCCCCAUCUAAAGCUGUCAUCUUUUUAGAAGGUCCACCUCCAGGAACGGAUAUCCUCCUCAAUAGUUUAGUUGUAAAUCACGUAGUUAAACCUCUUCCACCUCCUCCACCAGUUGUUGAGAAUGCAGUUUUUGGUGUUAAUAUAAUCACAAACACCCAUCUGAAUAAUGGCACAAAUGGCUGGUUUCCGCUAGGCAAUUGCAGAAUGAGUGUUCAAACAGGCUCACCACAUAUAAUUCCUCCAAUGGCUAGAGAUUCCCUUGGUUCUCGUGAGAAUUUAAGUGGUCGUUAUAUUGCAGUGACUAAUCGUACCGAGACAUGGAUGGGCCCUGCUCAGGUGAUCACAGAUAAAGUCAAACUCUAUUUGACAUACCAAGUAU